RNAcentral lists this ribosomal RNA (484 nucleotides) under uncultured bacterium. Its description in RNAcentral is "partial 16S ribosomal RNA". It matches the Rfam family "Bacterial small subunit ribosomal RNA", at positions 29 to 507 of the family's 1533-position model. The record is from RNAcentral.
AGUGAACGCUGGCGGUAGGCCUAACACAUGCAAGUCGAGCGGCUGCAGGGUGCGUGCUCGCUGAUUCAGCGGCGGACGGGCGGGUGAUGCCUAGGUACCUGCCAGUCAGCGGUUGCUAACGUCCGAACACGGGGGCUAAUACCGCAAAAGCCCUUAGGGAGUACGUGGGGAAUCAUCGGAUCUUCCGCUAUCGCGUGAGUCUAUGUCGGAUUAGCUAGUUGGUGGGGUAAAGGCCUACCAAGCCGACGAUCCGUAGCUGGUCUGAGAGGAUGAUCAGUCACACUGGAACUGAGACACGGUCCAGACUCCUACGGGAGGCAGCAGUGGGGAAUAUUGGACAAUGGGCGAAAGCCUGAUCCAGCCAUACCGCGUGUGUGAAGAAGGUCUUCGGGUUGUAAAGCACUUUGAUUUGGGAAGAAAGGCAGUAAGUUAAUACCUUGCUGUUUUGACGGUACCAACAGAAUAAGCACCGGCUAACUUCGUG